Loxodonta africana (African savanna elephant) is the source of this 71-nucleotide transfer RNA. It matches the Rfam family "tRNA". From Rfam's summary of the family: Transfer RNA (tRNA) molecules are approximately 80 nucleotides in length. Their secondary structure includes four short double-helical elements and three loops (D, anti-codon, and T loops). The record is from Rfam. Lineage: Eukaryota; Metazoa; Chordata; Mammalia; Proboscidea; Elephantidae.
GCAGUGAUGGUUCAUUGGUAGAAUUCUUGCCUUCCAUGCAGGAGACAAGGGUUCAAUUUCUGGCCAAUGCA